RNAcentral lists this ribosomal RNA (3738 nucleotides) under Triticum aestivum (bread wheat). RNAcentral's name for it is "partial small subunit ribosomal RNA". The record is from RNAcentral. Lineage: Eukaryota; Viridiplantae; Streptophyta; Magnoliopsida; Poales; Poaceae.
AUGAAGGAGGCGCGUGGCCCAUGGCCCGUCUGCCCUCACUCCCGACCACCCUCUGCUCCCUUCCUAUUUCUGCUCUCCACCACCACCGCCCCGCGAGCUCCUCCUCCUCCCAUCCCAGCCAGCCAGCCGAGAGGCCUCCCAAUGCCAGCCACCACCAAUGCCUACCACCUAGGCCCCAAGGCGCCGACCCUGCAGCUCCACCGAGCGUCCUCCCUCCGCCCGUCCGCCCAACCCAUGGCCCGAGUGGCGGGGCAGCAGCUCGCCGCCGCGCUGCUCCUCCUCACCUCGGCCGCCGCCGCGCGCGCCAUCGCCAUCGGCAGCCCCGCCUACAACGUCGUCCCGCGCCUCUCCUCCUUCCAGGAGCACGCCGUCGUCGUCCCGCGCCUCUCCUUCGAGGAGCACGCCAUCAACCAGGACGACUACGGCGGGGACGGGGACGGGGUCGGGGGCGGCGCCGCCUCGGCCGCCGGGGGCAAGGGCCUCGUCGGCAACCCCGUCGUCGCCGAGAUCGUCAACAAGCGCCUCAAGGGCCUCACCGCCACCUUCGCCCGCUCCAUCCGCAGCCAGCUCGGCUACUGCAUCAAGGACACGUACGUGCAUGUCCAUUCUCCUUCUUCUUCUUCUUCUCCGUUUUUCCCGUGGGAUGGAUCGAUCCAUCUCGUGUGUGAUCUCCGAUUCGGAUUCCGAUUACGCAGGGACUCGGAGUGGGACGCGGCCUUCAACUUCACCAAGGACACCUCCUUCCUCAACAACUGCAUGAAGCAGACCAAUGGUGACCUGCACCAGCGGGUGUGCACGGCGGCGGAGAUGAAGUUCUACUUCAACAGCCUGAUCGAGAGCGGGGAGGAGACCAGGUGGGAGAAGAGCUACGUCAGGCCCAACAAGAACUGCAACCUCUCCUCCUGGAUCGACGGCUGCGAGCCCGGCUGGGCCUGCAGCGCCGGCGAGCAGAAGGUCGACCUCCAGGACGCCAAGGACAUCCCCUACCGCGCCGACGACUGCCAGGCCUGCUGCCCCGGCUUCUUCUGCCCCCAUGCCCUCACCUGCAUGAUACCUUGCCCUCUUGGAGCAUACUGCCCACUGUCCACCCUAAACAAGACUACGGGGAUCUGCGACCCGUACAAUUACCAACCGCCUGCUGGGAACCCAAACCACACCUGUGGCAGUGCUGACAAUUGGGCAGAUGUGAUGAGCACCGACGACGUUUUCUGCCCGGCUGGAUUCUACUGCCCGAGCACGACCCAGAAGCUCCCUUGUAGUAGUGGGUAUUACUGCAGGAAGGGAUCGACUUCGCAAACCAGAUGCUACAAGAAGAGCGCAUGUCCGCCCAACUCUGUUAAUCAGGACAUUACGAUCUUUGGCAUGUUGCUAGUGAUUGCCUCUUGUCUAGUCCUUCUGAUCAUCUACAAUUUCUCUGGCCAACUUCUAACCAACCGUGAGAAAAAGCAAGCAAAAUCUCGAGAGGCUGCUGCAAGGUAUGCGAAAGAGACGGCGCAGGCUCGUGAGAGGUGGAAAACAGCUAGAGAUGUCGCCAAGAAGGCUAGCACUGGCCUUCAGUCACAACUGUCUCGCACCUUCUCGCGCAAGCAGAAGCCGGGACAGCCAGGGGGGAUGUCAUCGAAAGGCAUGAUGCCUUCAGUUGGAACGGAUGGGGCUGGAAAAAAGAGCAACCUCCCCGACAUGACGAGCUCCCUUGAAGAGAACCCAGACGGGCCCGAAGGAUUCCAAAUGGAAAUAGGAGAUAAGACCGGCAAGAAGAUGCCCAAAGGGAAGCAGAUGCACAGCCGGAGCCAGAUUUUCAAGUAUGCAUACGGUCAAAUCGAGAAGGAAAAGGCAAUUCAACAGGAGAUGGAGGAGAACGAUAACAACAUGAGUUUGUCUGGUGUGGUAAGCAUGGCCAAAGAGCACGAAGUCGGUUCGAGAAUGCCCAUUGAGGUCGCGUUCAAGGACCUAACUCUGACGUUGACCGGGAGCAAGAAGAAGAUCUUGAGGUCCGUGACAGGAAAGCUCAUGCCUGGCCGCGUAGCUGCCGUCAUGGGCCCAUCUGGUGCUGGCAAGACCACAUUUCUGAGUGCUGUCGCCGGCAAGGCAACUGGUUGUGACACAUCAGGCUUGGUGCUCAUCAAUGGUAAAGUUGAGCCGAUCCGUGCGUACAAGAGGAUUAUCGGCUUUGUUCCCCAAGAUGACAUUGUCCAUGGCAACCUAACCGUUGAAGAAAAUCUCUGGUUCAAUGCAAGAUGCAGGCUGGCAGCAGACAUGUCGAAAGCCGAAAAGGUCCUCGUCGUGGAGAGGGUCAUUGAGUCUUUGGGGCUGCAGCCAGUUCGAGAUUCUCUGGUCGGGACGGUGGAGCAGCGUGGCAUCUCCGGUGGCCAGCGCAAGAGAGUCAACGUCGGUGUAGAAAUGGUCAUGGAACCUUCGGUGUUGAUCUUAGAUGAGCCAACUUCAGGUUUGGAUAGUGCAUCCUCCCUGCUUCUUCUCCGUGCCCUUCGCCGGGAAGCUCUCGAAGGCGUCAAUAUCUCCAUGGUUGUUCAUCAGCCUAGCUACACGCUGUACAGAAUGUUUGAUGACUUGAUACUUCUCGCCAAAGGGGGGAUGACUGUCUACCAUGGUCCAGUAAAGAAGGUGGAAGAAUACUUCUCGGGGCUGGGCAUUGUCGUGCCGGAUCGCGUGAACCCACCCGACUACUACAUUGACAUCUUGGAGGGCAUCGUGAAGCCAAACAUGAGCGCGGGCGUAACCGUUAAGGACCUGCCGCUCAGAUGGAUGCUGCACAACGGCUAUGACGUUCCACGGGACAUGCUGCGGAGCACCUCCGGGUCUGAAUCUUCGUCCAGAGGAGGCGCAGACCCUUCUUCUCCUGGCGCGGACGCAAGCCCAUCCUUUCUAUCAGAAAUGUGGGCCAAUAUCAAGGACACCAUCAUGCAGAAGAAGGAUGAGUUUGACUAUAACAAGUCAACCUUAGAUCUGUCAAACCGCAACACCCCCGGCAUCCUUAGGCAGUACAGGUACUUCCUGGGAAGGGUUGGCAAGCAGAGGCUCCGGGAAGCAAGGAUACUGGCUGUCGACUACCUGAUACUCUGCCUUGCUGGGAUAUGCCUGGGGACGCUGGCCAAAGUGAGCGACGAAACGUUUGGAGCGCUUGGGUACACUUACACUGUCAUCGCCGUCUCCCUGCUUUGCAAAAUCGGAGCCCUAAGAUCCUUCGCCCUGGACAAGAUAUACUACUGGAGGGAAAGGGCCUCGGGGAUGAGCUCGCUGGCCUACUUCCUGGCCAAGGACACCAUCGACCACUUCAAUACCAUCGUCAAGCCCAUCGUCUACCUCUCCAUGUUCUACUUCUUCAACAACCCCAGGUCGUCCAUCUGGGAGAACUAUGUCGUCAUCGUUGCGCUUGUGUACUGCGUCACGGGCAUCGGCUACACCCUCGCCAUCUUCUUCCAGCCAGGCUCCGCACAACUGUGGUCUGCACUGCUCCCAGUCGUUCUCACCUUGAUAGCAACUCAGCAGAAGGACACUAUCAUAGCUGAUCUUUGCUACACAAAGUGGGCUCUGGAGGCGUUCGUGAUCGCCAACGCUCACAACUACACCGGGGUGUGGUUGAUAACACGGUGCGGCUCUCUGCAAAGUAACGGCUACGACAUCAGCAACAGGAGUCUCUGUUUAUGGGUCCUCGUGGCCAACGGGGUGAUCUUCCGCUGCGUAGCCUUCUUCUGCAUGGUAGUCUUCCAGAAGCACUGA